UGGGGAAUUUUGGACAAUGGGCGAAAGCCUGAUCCAGCAAUGCCGCGUGUGUGAAGAAGGCCUUCGGGUUGUAAAGCACUUUUGUCCGGAAAGAAAUCCUUGGCUCUAAUACAGUCGGGGGAUGACGGUACCGGAAGAAUAAGCACCGGCUAACUACGUGCCAGCAGCCGCGGUAAUACGUAGGGUGCAAGCGUUAAUCGGAAUUACUGGGCGUAAAGCGUGCGCAGGCGGUUUGCUAAGACCGAUGUGAAAUCCCCGGGCUCAACCUGGGAACUGCAUUGGUGACUGGCAGGCUAGAGUAUGGCAGAGGGGGGUAGAAUUCCACGUGUAGCAGUGAAAUGCGUAGAGAUGUGGAGGAAUACCGAUGGCGAAGGCAGCCCCCUGGGCCAAUACUGACGCUCAUGCACGAAAGCGUGGGGAGCAAACAGGAUUAGAUACCCUGGUAGUCCACGCCCUAAACGAUGUCAACUAGUUGUUGGGGAUUCAUUUUCCUUAGUAACGUAGCUAACGCGUGAAGUUGACCGCCUGGGGAGUACGGUCGCAAGAUUAAAACUUAAAGGAAUUGACGGGGUCAUAGCUG
Molecule: ribosomal RNA, 580 nt
Filed under: uncultured bacterium
Lineage: Bacteria
Description: partial 16S ribosomal RNA
Rfam family: Bacterial small subunit ribosomal RNA
Source: RNAcentral